ACGUGCGGCCCAGUGGAAGAUCCAUGCUGAAAUCGAAGGGUAACGGAGGUAGAUUUUCGCAAUCCACAGCCUCCUUCUCGGGUGUUAUCAGUUUCAUGAGGUCGAUGCCGCAGAUCUUUGUACGCAUUAGCACCAUAAGGUAUCGUUGAUUCUUCUCCGCCACCAUCCCUUCCAUCUCAGCCAGAAAAGGGGAUAAACCCUGGCAAUGAGGAAAUUGUUGAAGCAGCUGAUACUGGAACGGAAAUCAAUCCUGGUGGAUAGAUAACUACGUAGUGGCAUGGGCCGAUUGACAUUGGGUUCAUGUGAUCCAGCCCGAAAUAUAUACCGAACCUAUUUAUUAGAUUCGAAUUCGGCUCUAAAUGCGAUGAAACCUAUACACGUUUGGACUACGAUUAUAUGAAAACUGGGCCGUUAAUAUUAUAUUAUCUUGAUAUUUUCUUAUAAACUAGCAUGUGAAAAUAUCCAAAUUUUCAACACUCCAACUAUUAUUUGACAUGGUAAAAUUCACUUAAAAAAAUAUAACAAGAACCAACUCUUUUCUAAAAUUAAAGCAUAACCAUAAUUAAUACUAAUAUUAUCUAAUAACACCAAAUACUUAAAUCAAUACAAAUAACACAAUAUUAUGCAUUAAUAUAAAAUCUUAUGCAUUUUAAACAUAAAACAUUAACUUAUAGUCUUAUAAUAACUAAUAACACAAAAUAUUAAGGUUUACAAUACUUAAAUUCCACAUAAGAAUAACUAUCAUCUAUCAUUAAUAACAAAAAAUAUUAAUUAUAUAUGAUGACCGGGCCACCGGAUCGAGUUCGGGCAACCCGAGCCAUGGCACCGACCCGACCCGACCCGAAAUAAUGACCGAGUCUAUUUUUGAGACCCUUACCCGGUGAAAUCACACUAAAUUAGUCCCUAAAGUGUUCGGGACUGGACCGGGUCUUCAGACCGGGUCAGGCCAUGCACACCCCUAUCAUGAAAUAGGGGUGUUCACGGACAGGCUGGGUUUAAUUAGAUUCUGGACUCGACCCUCUAAAGUUCAACGGAUCUAUUUUUACUAGAACCGAAAUAAUUCGAAAUAAAUAGAGUUAACCUCGGACAAUUCGAUGUAAAAUUAGUAUAUACAAAUUUAUAAAUUUUAUAUAUUAAUCUAAUUCCAAAUUCAACCCGAAAGUAACACCAGACAAAAAUAAUAAGCCUAAACCUAAUAAAAUAUGCCUUAGAUUUGGAUAGAAUUUUGAGGGUCUUGAACCCCCCGAGAAUAAAGUGCUUCACAAGAAAUAAUUAGUUCUAUCAACUUAGUGACAGGGGGAGAUAAAUUGAAGAGUGUAGUCUUUUGCAGUUAGUUAGAGAAAUUUUGAGUAUUCUUCUCUGAAGUGGAUUCCCCACUCGAAUAAGAACAUUUAUAAUUUUCUGUAUUAUUGAUUGUAAUUUCAAAUUUCAUCUUUUUCCUCAUAUAUUCUUAAGCUAAUAUUUGGUGCUUUCGUUAAGAGAGAUGACCAUAUCCAAUAAACUUAAUCGACAAGCUGAGAUUGCACAGGCACAGUCACAAACUGUGGAAAGUUAAUUAAAUGUGCUUAAACUAUAAGUUACUCUAGAUUCAUCAAACCUUGGAAUUUUUCAUGUUGAUAAGCAUGGCAGAAGGAAAUUGAUUGUUGUUUGAGGGGAAAAAAAAUGAUUGUCAUGGUGUUUAUUAUUGCUUUUCGCCUCACUAAUAAUGGUAGUGGUACCGAUACAAUUUUUACAAUUAUUAUAUUACCAGUAUUUGAUAAAUAAUUUGAUUAGCCAAGUCAAAAGCGUUUAUAUUCCACAUGAAAAUCUUCCACUUCUAUCAUUUACAUUAUUAUCAUCACUGAGAAUUACCAUAAAAUAAUUAUUAGAAAAUUAAACUUAAAAAUAAAACAAAAACAAAAAACAAAUUUCCUAAAAUCACACACAACAAAAACUAACCAAUUUCUUUUAAAAUUUAUAGUUUAAAACUGGAUUUUGUUAGGACGGUGUAAAAUAAUUUCACAUGUACAUGCAAUUACAUAACACCACAUCAGUAAAAAUAACUAUAUUUGACGCAUAAAUAGUCAUCUAAAAAAACAAAUGACUGUCUAAAACACCGUACACUGUAUCAAAAUUAAACUCUAUAAUUUAUAUUAAUAAAACACUUAAUUUCACUGGAAUUAUUUCAUCAGUUUACCAUUUAAGUACAACAAUGUCAUUACACUGUAUAAAUCUCAUUCAAGAUUGAACAAGCUCGUAUAAAGUCAUUUUAGGUCGUCUUCUAUCUAGUCUUUCUUUGAUAAUAUACUAUAGAGUAAAUGAACUUCUACAUGCAUUGUUUGAACAGGUUUUGCCUUUUGAUGUGCUACAUAUUUUAAACCCUCCAAAAAAUUUUAUUUAGAAAAGAAAAAAGAUUAAUUUCUGCAUAAUGCGUGAUUCAGAAACAAACAAAGGAUGAGUAUUAUGAUAUCACAUUCCAAAUAGGCAUAAUAAAAUUUAAAGGGGAAAGCAUCUUAAAAUAAGUUUGAGAAUAAAAGAGAUACUAAAUAAGAAAACACAAGUCAGAAAUCGGCAAAUUGGGUACAACAAUAUAAUACAAUAAGCAGGUUGGUCAAAAUGGCGGAGCGCAUCUGGUUUUAUAUGCGACAAAAAAGUGCCUUUAAAACUUAAAGGUAAAUUCUAUCGCACCGCUAUAAGACCGGCUAUGCUGUAUGGUACGGAGUGUUGGGCGGCUAAAGGGGAGCACGAACAUAAGUUGAGUGUGGCUGAGAUGAAGAUGUUGAGAUGGAUGAGUGGUCAUACGCGAUUGGAUAAAAUAAGGAAUGAAGAUAUAAGGGAGAGAGUUGGAGUAGCACCCAUUGUGGAAAAGAUGGUUGAAUCGCGUCUCAGGUGGUUUGGACAUGUGGGAAGAAGACCGAUAGAACAUCCAGUCAGGAGGGUGGAUGAGAUGGAAGAUGGACAAAGGGCGAAAGGCAGAGGAAGACCUAAGAAGACCAUCCAUGAGGUGGUCAAACGAGAUCUACAUGUAAACGGUCUUUCUAUAGACAUGAUACAUGACAGAGCACAAUGGCGUCGUUUGAUUCAUGUAGCCGACCCCACUUAGUGGGACAAGGCUUUGUUGUUGUUGUUGUUGUUGUAUAAGCAACUCGUUACCUAAAAGUAGCAAAAUAAAAAUUAAAAAGAUACUGAUAUAUAUACUUUGCUGGGAAAAGGAAUAGAAAAUCGCUAAUAAUAAAAGGAACUAUAGAGAGAUGUACGCAACAAAUGCUGCUCCUUCCCACUGGAUCGGAACAAGGCAGAAGUUUGAAACAUAGGAAUAAUCAAAGAGUCCCUACUUUGUUGACAUCAGAACUAUCCAAGCUAGACUAGAGAUUUCAAGAAAACUAGCAUAGUUGUCCUUGUCAGUUGUCAUGGUUUGUUACACAUCCUACUUGGUUUAAUAAUUGAGAUUUCAGUCCUUGAUGCUGCAAGUUCAACAAAUUCAAACGGCGACAAGAUGGUAGGAUCUCAUGUGAACAGCAAGCUUUUGAGUGGGAACUAUGGCAAUAAAAAAUAUCAAAGAUGAAAUAACCAGGAAGAACCUUCAUCAACUCAUGAAUUGAAACAAGAUUGGCAUGCAUUGGCAAACUUAUUCACAGCAGCCGAUUAUGUGUGUUAAUGUGUAUUGGCCAAACAGAAUUACAGUACAAAAUAGUCAAGCACAAAAGCAUUCACAGCCAACCAAUCAAUAUGGGAUAACAAUAAAUAAUAAAGCAGCUUUAAGAAAACUAUGACAAAACAGAGGCGAGCAUUACCUUUUUGAAGCAAGCAUGUUCGAAAUUCAAAUUCGCCUACAUUUCUUUUUUCCCCACAUCGCGACCUCCUGGGCAUUCUCUUCCCACUGGAUGUCAGGGAAAACAAAGAAAGCAGGCAACUCAUUGAUGCCCAGCUUCAUGCUGUACAUGUGCAUGCUAAGGACCUUCCAAUCUAAGAACUCACACUCCAAUGGGGACCUCACAGACCUACGGAAGACCCGAGAGGGAUAGUUGACUAACUUCAUUGCCACCUGAAGAACCAAUACGCAGAGGACUGGGUCCUGUUUUUGAUCGUUUGCAAAGCCAGGUGCCAUAACAACAAACGUGCCUUUGCCAUCAAGAUCAACAAGUACAGGCGUUUCCUCAUAAUACAAGGACGACAUUCUAUCUAAGCAGCCUUCAAGCCUUUGGAAGAUAAGGACACCAAAUUCAUCCACCUGGAAAGCAUAUAUCUUGUAUAUUCCUCCAAUGUGUUCGCAUGAAAGUGCCAGGUAUUUGCCAGGAUCAAACAAAUCUGUAACAAUAUCAAUACCAAUACGAAUAACAAUACUCAGGAGUAAACAACAUGAAGAUGCAGGAAAUUAGCUGAUACCUGGAAUACGCACUCUUGGAAGAAAGAACCGACGCUGGCCAUACAGUGGGACACAAAAAGAACGCGUAAAACUAUUGUCACCCUCACUCGUUGUCCAAUGUGAGUUAUGGGUGUCAUAAGAGUAGACGAAAACGCUUCCAUCUUCGAAGCAGAUUCGGAGGUAUAGCUUACCAUAGAAGUCGAACCAUGAACUGUGAUCAACUAUGGAAUCUGAGGGUGGGUUAGGAUCACUAGGAGCAUCAGGUAAGUCUUUCCAAACCCUAGUCCCAGAGCGUAGAACCCAAAAAUUAUGAGGACCAGACCCGGGUAUGAGACGGUCCAUACCACACAUCUUUAUCAAAUAAUAAUCACUUCCGAUUUUGUGAAGAAUAUAGUAUCUGGUAUUAAUAAACCCUGGAAAAUCAUAGAUUGAAUUCGACUCCUUCACCUCCUUCUUGUCAAGGUCUAGUUCGUAGACUUUUUUGCAAGGCUCGGAAGCACGAUCAUAAGAAGCAGCUGCUUCGGACAAAUAUUUGACACCUCCAACGAGAUGAAUCUUGGAAUCCAACUCGAUAGCGAACAUGCGGCCCAGUGGAAGAUCCACGCUGAAAUCAAAGGGAAACGGAGGUAGAUUUUUCCAAUCCACAGCCUCCUCCCCGUCCUUCUCGGGUGUUAUCAGUUUCAUGGGGUCGAUGCCGCAGAUCCUUCUACGCAUUCGCACCAUAAGGUAUCGUUGAUUCUUCUCCGCCACCAUCCCUUCCAUCUCAGCCAGAAAAGGGGACAAACCCUAGCAAUGAAUUUUUUUCGACGGUAUUUCCUAACUGCACAGGUCAAGGACUAAUCCGUUGCAAAGGACUAAUACAUCGGAAUCUGAG
This 5219-nucleotide long non-coding RNA is filed under the name Arachis ipaensis. Its description in RNAcentral is "long non-coding RNA (AIPA_LNC000489)". Lineage: Eukaryota; Viridiplantae; Streptophyta; Magnoliopsida; Fabales; Fabaceae. The record is from RNAcentral.